Toxorhynchites rutilus septentrionalis is the source of this 4066-nucleotide long non-coding RNA. RefSeq lists it as uncharacterized. Lineage: Eukaryota; Metazoa; Arthropoda; Insecta; Diptera; Culicidae. The record is from RefSeq and is a predicted model, not a curated record. The transcript has 3 exons.
UAUUUCUUCCUGUAGUUGUUUAUCUCCUUCAUAUACGUCAACCAAAUCAUAAUUGUUCUCAAUACUUUGUAUCUCUUCCCAUUCCUCAUUCGCGGAUGCAGCUAAGGUCGGAAUUUUCGUAACUCCAUUUUCAUUGUAUUUCCCAUCAACAAAAUGAGCCUGUAUAUAUACUAGUAUUAGGAUAUGUUUUAGAAUUAGUUUUUAAUACUUACGCUACAUAUUCUUGUGCUUGAUUUGAUUUCAAAGAAUGGAACUUCUAAUUCACUGUUCACGCAAAAUCGAAUCCAUUCUUUCCGAAUAUUUUUGUCUUGAGGGAACCGAUAAAAUUUAUACUCAGGAUGAGUAUCCGUCCUUCGCUCACAAUUAAGGGCUUUACACUUCAUUUUUAUUUUUGAAUUACGUUUUGUAUGAAUAAAAUGGCUUCCUAACGUUGUUUUGGUUGUAUUCCUGCUCAUAUAAUAAGAUAGAAUGUUUUGGUUCAGACAAUGAGAAUCUGCAUAACGCUGUAACGGUUGUCAGAUUAGAUUUAUUUGCUAAAAAAAAUCCCAAAUUUGUUUUGGAAACGAUUAUAUUAUAGAUAUGGGUAUUUAAAAGACUUAUUUUAUCCUUUUAAAGCAUAUUUUUGAGAUUGUCUAUUUGAAAAUAUGCAAUAAUCAUUGAAUUCGCACCAACCAAAUGUUACGAUUCAUUAAAAUAGAAAUUUGAAAAAUCCGAUAUUUUAUAAUAUUUGGCAGCUCUGGCAUCUUCAUGUCAUGGCUUCGUUUUUGGACGACGAAGAAGAGUAAGAAGCCAGUUGUCUGGUCUUGUCUUAGGUUGAUUCCUUCGCGCAACCGAGUUUGCUGCUUCGUUCGCACGCUUACACAACGAAUGAACACCAAUGAACUUUUGCGGUAUUCCCUGCGGCGAAUGACUUGAGUGUAGCAGUCACUUUUCGAGAUUUCAAAUCGUAUCCUUAUUUGCUGUCGACUCGUUUAAAAAAUGGAAGCUGAAAAAUUACACGUGGCGAUCCGACAACAAUUCGAGGAGCUAGUGCGAAGAAUGGAGGAGAAUCCUGCGGUGGCAAAGGGUUUUAAGUUUGCUGAAGCAGCGAGCACAUCAAAAUCAAUUUUCGCCCUUCUGGUGAAAUGUUGUAUUUUUGCUGUACGUCAUUCAGUAAAUCGAAGAUUUUUUCGACUGCAACGCGAUUAAAUCCUUGUGUACUGGCGGUGGAGGUUGCUUCUAGUGUCCGAAGUGAGAGUUGUGGGUGACCAGCCAGCCAACCUAUUCAGGCUAAUUGCUUUUGGCCAUUGAAAGAGUGAGAAAUAACAUAUCUUUCGACCAAAUUAUACGUCAGUUUCCAGAUUUCUUUCGUCUUAAAACUAUUGAACCGUUGUUCCAAAAAAAGAAUAUAAUCUACGAGCUCGUUCUCUUGCUUCGUCGUAAAAACAUUACUAAAUGAUCCGAGCAGCUGGAGCUGCAAAAUAUCUGAACAACGUAAAUAACGUUUAAGUGUUUCUCGCGGUACAGAACGCACUAAGGAGACUGCAUGUAGCACUAACAUACCACUCUUCACUGCUUAGAUGGCCGCGUACAAGCUGGUCUGUGGCCACUUUUUACGAUCGGAUGUUCUGGUAUUUCCGCAUCAUGAUUCCACAUCUAUUUUCAACUAUGUUCACAAAUUUUGACAGCUGCAUUUACAGUUUAUGUUGGAAAAAUACCUGGUCAUACUGCCCCAAGCAGGUAUGCCCAUUCGGCAAAGACGAAGCAGCGCACUAAAUCAGUGAAAAUUGUCGGAAAUAAUGCCAAUACGAAUUUAUAUAAAGAGCAGAGUCAUAAAUUUCAGUAUGAAACGUACAAAGCUUAUUUUGUUGACUGCUUUUUUAUAUGUUUUUCUUGAUAAUCAGUCGGUUUUCCAGGUUUUCAAGGAGAUACUUCUUCCUCUUAAAUGACACUAACGUUCCUAGAGGAACUUCGCCGUCUCAACGUAGUAUUACUUACGUCAAUUAUAAUAGUACUUGGUUGAGAUUUCUAUGCCAAAUAACACGCCUUGAGUGCAUUCUGAGUGGCAAGCUCUAGAAUACGCGUGACCACAGUGCAAGUCGGAGCAAAUUUCUUUGACGAAAAAUUCCCCCUACCAGAACGGGAAUCAAUAACGAGCCAAAACGAAGGGUGGCCCAUUUCACCCCGCCUGGUCAUAUUGCACCUAUCUACCCUAUAUUUCAUUACUACAGGCUUGGGCCAACUUCAAAUGAAAAACAAACAUGAUGAUUUUGAUUCUUAAAAAUGAGGCCUGUGAAGAAGCUAUAGUUAACUUCUUAUCGCUAAACAAAGCCGUUAACCGAGAGGGUCUACGCAAGACGGGUCUAUGGUACUAGGUGAGGCCGUUUCGUCACUAAGUUGGUUAGGGGAGCGGUAUAUGAAAACAGUACGGAAGAAAGCAGAAGGGGAUUUAUUUGCUUGAAGCGUGAAAGAGACAGACUGAUCAGGAACGAUCUUCGGCACUAGCGUAUUGUGUUUUGUUUACAAACAAAACACAGUAGACUUCCAAGAUGGCUGAAGAGUGGUUUUAGCAAGUUGGCCCACCUUAGGAUAUACUUCUACGCGCUUUGGGUCUACGAUCUCUGAUCAUCUGACAUUUCAUUCGCACGAUGGCUGCAUGCGCUUCAUUAUCGUCAUCGGCCAACCAAAAUGCAAAGCUGCUCAAGUUCUAUAAAUAAAACACGAAUGCAAGUUUCUUGCCUUGAUGGAUUGCUUAUUAAAAGCUGCAACACGAAAAUGUUAUCAGGUCAAAGCAAUUGAUUGGGGGUCCUCGUAGCCUAAUUGGUUACGUGUCCGCUGCUAAACGAACGAUCAUGAGCUGAUAACUCAGGACCCCUUAACUGACCAUCUUUGUGUGUUAUUCUAGCUACUAUGUCCACGCAACAAUCAUCAUGUGAAGGUAAUCCCAAUCCCUUACCGCUCACAUUUUCGGUCUGCUGCAUCGGUAAUUGGAUCUAUCCCCAACUAUAACCCAACAAAGGAAGCCUCAUAUCAACAGUCCCGCUGUGAACAGCCCAACUGUGAACAUUCGAACAAUAGCAAUAUUCUUACGCCGAAAAAGGCGACAUGUGUUGUGCAUCGAUAGAAUAGGAAUUCUCUUACGUCUGACGACUACUGUGUUAUAGAUAAAAACAAAUGUUUAUCGAUAAAUAGCGAUACUCUUACGCCUCAAAAUGGUAACAGUGUAGUAUACAACAAAAGUUAUCUUAGGAUAAAAAAUGUACACGAAUGAAUUCGGCUCUGUUAGAGCUGAAUUGCUAAAUGAGCCUUAUAAAUUGUAGGGAUAAAAAAAAAGCAAUUGAUCACAAAAAGCAGCGAUUUCUGGGAUGGAAAAACAAAUUCAAAAUGAUCAAGUGCGGCCGUUUCACUAGAUUUAAAACGCAUACUCAAAAAACUGAACGGAAUGCCCGAGCGAAGUCAUGUAAACAAAAAUUAUAAAAGAUUGUGUUCAAGACACGAUCGCAUCGUUGACGUAGAACUACGCUGUAGUUUAAUUCAAGUCGCUUGUUUAUAACUGCGGAUAUUAUUUUAUAAUGCUACGAAAAUUUUGAAAUAACCAUUCCACCAGUUUGGUCGCCUUGAAAUGUUUUUGACGUUCAAUUACGUCUUUCGGGAACAUAUUGGGAUACAAAUUGAAAGUCGAAAAUCUAGCACAUCGGGAAAAUUGUCCAAUUUCAAACGCUUAUUGCUUAGUCAUUUCAUGAUGGAUUGAUGAAAUUUUUACGUCAAUCGAUUUCAGAACUCCAUAAUAAUUUUUUAUAUUGAAUAAAAUAAUAUAUGUCAUGAAACUAACUAUCGAACAAUUGAAAAAUCUCAACCCCUAUCCUAACGGAAAUACCACUUCUGAUUGGUCGAAAUUGACGAAGCAUGCGGCUGGUUCCUAACAGAGACAUCAAAACCAAGCAAAAAAGUAGGGGCAGCUUUUGUUCCUACCGAAAUGUAUUACCUAACAGAGACAUCAAAAUCAAGCUGCCUGGGGGAAAUCGACAUUGUAAAUACAUGAAAGUCGGCAUUUAUAUAUUGCAAGUAAGGUGAGUGAUACGAUUAA